This 314-nucleotide ribosomal RNA is filed under the name uncultured bacterium. RNAcentral's name for it is "bacterial SSU rRNA". It matches the Rfam family "Bacterial small subunit ribosomal RNA", at positions 29 to 369 of the family's 1533-position model. The record is from RNAcentral.
AACGAACGCUGGCGGCAUGCCUAACACAUGCAAGUCGAACGAGACCUUCGGGUCUAGUGGCGCACGGGUGCGUAACGCGUGGAAAUCUGCCCUUGGGUCCGGAAUAACUCAGAGAAAUUUGAGCUAUUACCGGAUGAUGACGUAAGUCCAAAGAUUUAUCGCCCAGGGAUGAGCCCGCGUAGGAUCAGCUAGUUGGUGAGGUAAAGGCUCACCAAGGCGACGAUCCUUAGCUGGUCUGAGAGGAUGAUCAGCCACACUGGGACUGAGACACGGCCCAGACUCCUACGGGAGGCAGCAGUGGGGAAGUAUUGGAC